Molecule: long non-coding RNA, 701 nt
Filed under: Populus trichocarpa (black cottonwood)
Lineage: Eukaryota; Viridiplantae; Streptophyta; Magnoliopsida; Malpighiales; Salicaceae
Description: long non-coding RNA (PTRI_LNC003317)
Source: RNAcentral
AUUGUUACAGGGCUAUCACUGAUCAGAUUAGCAACAGUGAUGUCCUGGAGCAGCCUCUUAUCUCAUUACAAGACACUUCGUGCUGGUGCCCCUUUGCACGCGAAUGUCUAAUCCAAGAGUUGCCUCAUUCGAUAGACUAUCUCUCGAUCAGGAAGAUAAUGAUGCUUCAAAUCUUCAAUAAGACAAACCUAAACCAGUAAGAGCAUCUUGGCAUCUCGUAGCUAGGGCCUAGGAGACCUUGUAUGGUGGCUGAAAAUGCUUCAAGAGUCGAAACCAAUGUGCUUGCUCCCUUUUUCUUUCUUUUGAACUGUAUGUGUACUCCUUGGUAUAGCAAUAUAGUAGCUAGAUUGUGCGCACUACAUGGAACAAUAGUGAAAAAAACAGUAUGUUUUAAGAUUAAACCAAGUUAUCCAGUAGAAAGAAAAACUUCUAAAAAGCAACAAAGAACACUGUGCUUCCCAGCAAAGAUGCACAGUAUAAAAUAUGUCAAUAAACACAAAAAAUAAAAUCAGAAUAAUAGAAAAAAACAAACACCAGAACAGUAAACAUGCAGCAACCUUCAACCAUUCUCAAAUUAAAUUCAUUCUAGCCAUUAUCAUUCUCGACAUAAAAAUACAAUGAUUGACUAGGUAGUACAUUCUAGAGCCAACAAAGCCAAAAAAACAAUAAAAAAACAAUCUUGUUUUUCAAGAAACCCAUCA